RNAcentral lists this ribosomal RNA (120 nucleotides) under Helianthus annuus (common sunflower). The record is from RNAcentral. Lineage: Eukaryota; Viridiplantae; Streptophyta; Magnoliopsida; Asterales; Asteraceae.
GGUUGCGAUCAUACCAGCACUAAUUCCCCAGAUCCCAUCAGGACUCCGUAGUUAAGCGUGCUUGGGUGAGAGUAGUACUAGGAUGGGUGACCCCCUGGGAAGUCCUCGUGUUGCAACUCC